GUGAGGAAUAUUGGACAAUGGGCGCAAGCCUGAUCCAGCCAUGCCGCGUGCAGGAAGACGCAUCUAUGGUGUGUAAACUGCUUUUGUACGGGAAGAAACACUCCCUCGUGAGGGAGCUUGACGGUACCGUAAGAAUAAGGAUCGGCUAACUCCGUGCCAGCAGCCGCGGUAAUACGGAGGAUCCAAGCGUUAUCCGGAAUCAUUGGGUUUAAAGGGUCCGUAGGCGGUUUAAUAAGUCAGUGGUGAAAGCCCAUCGCUCAACGAUGGAACGGCCAUUGAUACUGUUAGACUUGAAUUACAAGGAAGUAACUAGAAUAUGUAGUGUAGCGGUGAAAUGCUUAGAUAUGACAUGGAAUACCAAUUGCGAAGGCAGGUUACUACUUGUGGAUUGACGCUGAUGGACGAAAGCGUGGGGAGCGAACAGGAUUAGAAACCCCAGUAGUCC
Molecule: ribosomal RNA, 445 nt
Filed under: uncultured bacterium
Lineage: Bacteria
Description: partial 16S ribosomal RNA
Rfam family: Bacterial small subunit ribosomal RNA
Source: RNAcentral